RNAcentral lists this unclassified non-coding RNA (253 nucleotides) under uncultured Lysobacterales bacterium. RNAcentral describes it as "uncultured Xanthomonadales bacterium contains 16S-23S intergenic spacer region". It matches the Rfam family "Bacterial small subunit ribosomal RNA", at positions 524 to 776 of the family's 1533-position model. Lineage: Bacteria; Pseudomonadati; Pseudomonadota; Gammaproteobacteria; Lysobacterales. The record is from RNAcentral.
UACGAAGGGCGCAAGCGUUAAUCGGAAUUACUGGGCGUAAAGCGUGCGUAGGCGGUUUGUUAAGUCCGAUGUGAAAGCCCUGGGCUCAACCUGGGAAUGGCAUUGGAUACUGGUGAGCUAGAGUGCGGUAGAGGGUGGCGGAAUUCCCGGUGGAGCGGUGAAAUGCGUAGAGAUCGGGAGGAACAUCCGUGGCGAAGGCGGCCACCUGGACCAGCACUGACGCUGAGGCACGAAAGCGUGGGGAGCAAACAGG